AACGUAGGUCACAAGCGUUGUCCGGAAUUACUGGGUGUAAAGGGAGCGCAGGCGGGAAGACAAGUUGGAAGUGAAAUCUAUGGGCUCAACCCAUAAACUGCUUUCAAAACUGUUUUUCUUGAGUAGUGCAGAGGUAGGCGGAAUUCCCGGUGUAGCGGUGGAAUGCGUAGAUAUCGGGAGGAACACCAGUGGCGAAGGCGGCCUACUGGGCACCAACUGACGCUGAGGCUCGAAAGUGUGGGUAGCAAACAGGAUUAGAGACCCCAUGUUCCGGCUGACUGACU
Molecule: ribosomal RNA, 284 nt
Filed under: Faecalibacterium prausnitzii
Lineage: Bacteria; Bacillati; Bacillota; Clostridia; Eubacteriales; Oscillospiraceae
Description: partial 16S ribosomal RNA
Rfam family: Bacterial small subunit ribosomal RNA
Source: RNAcentral